RNA transcript from Homo sapiens (human), 8417 nucleotides. It is a transcript of the gene named ribosomal protein SA 2, with no coding region annotated. Lineage: Eukaryota; Metazoa; Chordata; Mammalia; Primates; Hominidae. The record is from RefSeq and is marked validated. The transcript has 5 exons.
AGAGUUUGGGAUCGGUCUCUUCUGUUCCGCGUCCUCCACCUCGGUAGCCCCUGGUGACUCUGUUACAGCCUCUGUUGACCUAUGAUCUGCAGGGAGACGCACAGCCAGGACAUCCUGGAACCUGGGAAAGGGGACUCUUGACGUUUAGGUAUGUGGCCAUAGAAUUCUCUCUGGAGGAGUAGCAGUGCCUGGACACUGCACAGCAGAAUUUAUAGAGGAAUGUUAUGAAAACCUGGCCUUCCUGGGUAUUACUGUCUCUAAGCCAGACCUGAUCACCUAUCUGGAGCGAGAAAAAGAGCCCUGGAAUAUGAAGUGACAUGAGAUGGUGGAUGAACCCCCAGGUAUAUGCCCUCAUUUUGCUUAAGACCUCUGGCCAGAGCAGGGCAUGGAAGAUUCCUUUUAAAAAGUAAUACUGAGAAGACAUGAAAAAUGUGGACAUGAUAAUUUACUGUUGAGAAAUGGCUGUAAAAGUGUGGAUGAGUGUCAGGUGCACAAAGAAGGUUAUAAUGGACUUAACAAGUGUUUCACAACUACUCAGAGCAAAGUAUUUCAAUGUGGUAAAUGUUUGAAAGUCCUUUAUAAAUUUUUAAAUUCAAACAAAAAAUAAGAUAUACUGGAAGAAAACCUUUCAAAUGUCAAAAAUGUGUCAAAUCAUUUUGCAUGCUUUCACACAAAACCCAACAUAAAAGCAUUUAUACUAGAGAGAAGUCCUACAAAUGUAAAAAAUGUGGAAAAACCUUUAAUUGGUCCUCAAUCCUUACUAAUAAUAAGAAAAUUCAUACUGAACAGAAACCUUACAAAUGUGAAGAAUGUGGCAAAGCUUUUAAGCAACACUCAACCCUUACUACACAUAAAAUAAUUUGUGCUGAAGAAAAACUUUACAGAUGUGAAGAAUGUGGCAAAGCAUUUUGCCAGCCCUCAACCCUAACUAGAUAUAAGAGGAUGCACAGAAGAAAGAAACUCUACAAAUGUGAAGAAUGUGGCAAAGCGUUUACCCAGUUCUCAACCCUUACGAAACAUAAGAGAAUUCAUACUAGAGGGAAACAUUACAAGUGUGAAGAAAGUGGCAAAGCAUUUAUCUGGUCCUCAGGCCUUACUGAACAUAGGAGAGUCCAUACUAGACAGAAACCCUACAAAUGUGAAGAAUGUGGCAAAGCAUUAAUUCAAUUCUCAACCCUAACUAGACAUAAGAGGAUACACACUGGAGAGAAACCCAACAAAUCUAUGUGGCAAACCUUUUAGCCAAAACUCAAACCUUACUAUAUAUAAGAUAAUUCAUACUGAAAAGAAACCCUACAAAUGUCAAGAAUGUGGCAAUGCUUUUAGCCAGUCCCCAUACCUUACUACACAUAAGGUAAUUCAUACUGGGAGAGACCCUACAAAUGUGAAGAAGGUGGCAAAGCAUUUCUAUGGUUCAUUACCCUAACUGGUCAUAAGAGGAUGCACACUGGAGAGAAACCCUACAAAUGUGAAGAAUAUGAAAAAGCUUUUAGCCAGUCAUCAAUCCUUACUCGACAUAAGAUAAUUCAUACUGGAGAGAAACCCUACAAAUGUGAAGAAUGUGGCAAAGCUUUCAGCCAGUCCUCAACCCUUACUACACAUAAGAGAAUUCAUACUGGAGAGAAACCCUACAAAUGUGAGGAACGUGGCAAAUCUUUUAACCUGUCUUCAAGCUUUACUAAACAUAAGGUAAUUCACAGUGGAGUAAAACCCUACAAGUGUGAAGAAUGUGGCAAAGCCUUUAGGCAGUCUUCAAUUUUUGCUAACCAUAAGAGAAUUCAUACUGGAAAGAAACCCUACAAGUGUGAAGAAUGUGGCAAAUCUUUUAACCUGUCUUCAAGCUUUACUAAACAUAAGGUAAUUCUUACUGGUUUAAAACCCUACAAAUGGGAAGAAUGUGCCAAUGCCUUUUCCUGGUCCUCAGCCCUAACUAAACAUAAGAAAAUUUAUACUUGAAAGCAACCCUACAAAUGGGAAAAAUUUGGCAAACCUUUAAUCCUUACAACUUAAUGCACAUAAGAUAACUUAUAUUGAAGAGAAAUAUUACAAGUGUGAAUAAUGUGUCAAAGCCUAUAAAAAGUCCUCAAUUCUUUACAGACAUAAGGUUAUUUAUACUGGAGAGAAACUUUGCAAACCUGAAAGAUGUGCCAAUGCUUUUGACAACAACUUAAGCUUUUCUAAACAUAAAGAAAAUCAUGCUGCUGAGAAUCCUAGAAGUGUGAAGAAUGUGACAAAGCCUUUAAAUGAUUGUCACACUUGAUUGUAGUCCACCAGGGUCAGUGGCAAAGUGGUGUCAUGAAUAGGGACUUCGAGGAAGUGAACGAGGAAGAUCUGCUGGAGCACAGGAAGUGAAAUAGACAAGAUGAAUGGGGACCCCAGGACAAAUAUGCUGGCAGUGGAUAUAAGGUCAGUGCUCUAAAAAAGUACUGGGAAUGGGAAGUUUCUGAAUGACGGUACCAUGGGGCAGCAUUUGUCUGUUGAAGAAAAACAUUAUGUGCAGUUGCCUAAAGUUGUGUUGAAACAGUCUGGAUCUCAAGUUAAUUCACAGACAUUAGCUAAACUUCUGCAGGAGGUUAUUACACAUAACCCAUUGUUUCCACAGGCAGGCCCUCUUGAUGUGGAAAAUUGGGACACAGUAGGAGAGGGAUUGAAAUGGGCUCAUCAAAAAGUCUCAAAGUAGACCCUUCUGUUUUUUCUGCUUGGGGUUUGGUUCGCAUGGUCCUACUGCUGCUGUCUCUUUAUUCUGCCAGGCAACAGAAGUCAGUUUCUGAGUCUCAAGAAUUAAAAAACUCAUUUGUUCCUCCAACAGUGCAUAUUGAAAAUAAUGAGCAGGAGAAAGGGGGAGAAUUGGCCAUUUGCUAAGCAGAAAAAAAGAGAGGAGAAUUGGCCUCUGCCACCCCCUCCAAUAACAGAAGUAGAAACCCCCACACAACAAAUUUUGCAUGCUGCUGCUAUGGCAAGGGAACUUUUGGGACCUUAUGCUUUUCCUAUUACCAUAAGGCUUGAUCUGAAUGAUCCACCACAUUUUUGACAUGAACACACUCUUGUAGAGUUUAAAUUACUAAAAGAAUUAAAAACUGGUGUGGUUAAUAAUGGAGUGCAAAGCCCAUUCACUAUAGGGCUGUUAGAAUCGGUGUUCAGAGCCAUGUGCCUUCCACCUUUUGAUGAAAAACCUUUGGCUUGCACUUGCUUAUCCACCAGUGCAUAUCUGACAUGGAGUUUAAAUUGGCAAGAAAUGUGUGCAGACCAGGCUAGGCAGAAUCGCACCGCUCUUCAAGGAAACACUACAGAGGAAAUGUUGAUGAGCUGUGGCCCCUUUUCAGAUCUGGUACAACAAUUAACACUCCCAUCAGAGAGGCCACUUACCACCAGUCUUCCUUAGCCACCAAGCAUGUUUGGAGCACAAUUCCUGAAGAGGGAGUUACAGUGCAGUCUUUUCUACAUGUCACACAGGGAUCACAGGAGCCUUAUGCACAAUUUAUCGCAUGGCUGCAAGAUGCAGUGCAGCAUCAGAUCACUCAUGCCUCUGCUGCAGAAAUGCUUACCAUAGCUCUAGCCUAUGAAAUGCAAAUGCAGAUUGCAAGCAUGCUCAAGCAAUGGCUAGUUUAAUAGUUGACAAAUCUAAAAGGAGCCAAGGAUCAAACCCUAAAGUGGGAGAAUGUUAUAAUUAUGGAAAAACUGGACAUUUUAAAAAGGAAUGCCACCCCAGACCUCAGGACAAAAAGGAUCUUACAAUGUGGUGCCCCCCCCCGCCCAGUGGAAAUAAUGCCAGGACUCUGUCCUCUCUGUAACAAAGGAAAUCAUUGGGCUCACCGAUGCCACUCAAAAUUUCAUCACAAUAGCACCCCCUGUCAGGAAAUGAGAAGGAGGCCUGGACCCAGGCCCCUCAAGCCAUGAGGGCAUUCCCAGUUCAGACCACAACCCCACUUCAGGGGUGGGUCCCAGGAGGAAUAUUGAUUGAUUCCCUCUCCCCAGGAACACCAGGAAGUGCAGGAUUAGAUAUCCCCACCAGAGAUAGAAUUACAUUAGUUGGAGAAGACAAACCUUCCAAAGUUCCCACUGGCAUUUGGGGACAUUUGCCAGCAGAAUACAUGGGACUAAUUUUAGGCAAAAGCUGCCUUAACUUGCAAGGCAUCACUGUAGUCCCCAGAGUAGUUGACUCUGGUUAAGGAGAAAUUCAAAUAGUUUUAAUGUCAAAAGAUCUUUGUGUUUUUGAACCAGGGGAAUAUAUAGCACAAUUAUUGCUUAUCCCCUGCAAAUUACACCCUUCUGCAUGAAAGGAGAAAUGAGGAAAUAAAGGGUUUGGGAGCACAACUACAUGCAAAAUCUAUCUAUUCCAACCCUUAGCCUCUAAUAGACCCACCUGUUUGGUACAAAUUAAAAAAAAAUGUAUGGGCUUAUGGACACAGGAGCUGAUGUGUCAGUAAUAUCCAGUAAGGAUUGACCCCCAUCCUGGCCCCUCAGACUAAUCUCCACAUCCCUAGUGGGAGUAGGAGCAGCUCAAAGUGUUCAACGGAGUGCUGAGAUUUUACCUUGUCUUGGUCCGGAUGGACAAUCAUGUACUUUCCAGCCUUAUGUUGCAAAUAUAGCUAUCAAUUUAUGGGGUCGAGACUUACUUAUAGCAUUGGAUAUGAGACUUACAAAUGAAAACUUUAAUAACCUAGGAUUUAAAAUGUCAAAGGACAUGGAAUAUCAGAGUGGGAAAGGUUUAGGAAAAUUCCUACAAGGAAACCCUAACCCAAUAUCAAUAACUGGAAAGACAGACAAAAAAGACUGGGGCCGGGUGCGGUGGCUCACGCCUGUAAUCCCAGCACUUUGGGAGGCAGAGGCGGGUGGAUCAUGAGGUCAGGAGAUCGAGACCAUCCUGGCUAACACAGUGAAACCCCACCUCUACUAAAAAUACAAAAAAUUAGCCGGGCGUGGUGGCGGGCGCCUGUAGUCCCAGCUACUCGGAAGGCUGAGGCAGGAGAAUGGCGUGAACCCGGGAGGCAGAGCUUGCAGUGAGCAGAGAUUGCGCCACUGCACUCCAGCCUGGGCGACAGAGCGAGACUCCGUCUCAAAAAAAAAAAAAAAAAAAGGAUUGGGACAUCAGGAUUUAUUAUUGGGGUCAUUGAUACUUUUCCACCACCCACUGCCUUACCUUUAGAAUGGCUUAGUGACAAACCUGUGUGGGUGGAUCAAUGGCCCCUAACACAGGAGAAGCUAGCUCAACUUCAUCUGUUGGUGAAAGAAUAAUUGGAUGCAGGACAUUUAGAGGAGUCAGUUCCCGGAAUUCACCGAUGUUUGUUAUCCUAAAAAUAGUCCAGAAGAUGGCGACUGCUGCAUGACUUGAGAGCUAUUAGUGCACAAAUUAAACCAAUGGGUGCAUUACAGCAGGGCUUGCCAUCCCCAGCAGCCAUUCCUAAAAACUGGCCUCUUGUAGUAAUAGAUCUUAAAGAUUUUUUCUUUACUAUACCAUUACAUGAGAAGGAUAAGCCUCGAUUUGCCUUCUCUGUGCCUUCUAUUAAUCAGAGACAUGCUACAAGCCAAAUGGGUGAGACAUCCGGUCAUGUAUGGUGACACUGUCUGUCGCCGUUUGCUCAUAUGGAGAUUUCUAAACAAUUAAAAACUGACAAUAGACCUGCUUAUACUAGUCAUGCUUUUCAAACUUUCCUACAGCUUUGGGCUAUGACCCAUAAAACAGGAAUUCCUUACAUUAUAGACCAGGCACAUCAAACGUUACAACGCAUGUUGAGAAAACAAAAAAAAAGGGUGAUUGGACACCAGCCACCACCUCAAACAAAACUAAGUUUAUCUUUAUUUACUUUAAAUUUUUUGACUCCUUGUAUGAAUGGUAAGACUGCAGCAGAAAGACAUUGGCAAGUGUUAGAGGAAAUUAGGAAAGUUUAUCUGAAAUUAUUAUGGAAAUCCCUGGAAGAAGGACAAUGGAAAGGUAUGGUGGAUUUACUGCUGUGGGGACAAGGGUAUGCUUAUGUUUUUACAGCAGAUGGAUAAACCAUGUGGGUGCCCUCAAGGUGCGUGCAACCAUGGAAUGGAAGACUGGAGGAACCCAUGGUGGCCAACCAUGGGCCCGGUCCCUCUGGUAUGGGCCAUGAGCCAGCUGAGCCUGAGUGCAAAAAUGGACAGAAGGCCAACUGGAGUCAUGGUGACAUCAACCCCUAUAACCUGGGGGACACUCAAGAAAACCAUGCAGGAAGCUGAGAAACUACUGGAGCGUCAAGGCCAGAAAAAACCCCUGAUUCCAUGUUCUUGGCCAUGUUAGCUAUAAUGCCCUGUGUGGUAGGUUUUCCCUUGCAGAGUCAAAAACAUAUUGGGCAUAGGUUCCCAAUCCUCCAGCAGUACAACCUGUACUUUGGAGUGACACUCCUCCUGAGAUCUAUCGUGAUCAGGGAGCAUGGGCUCCAGGACCCCUAUGUCUGGCUCCCCCGGACAUAGAACAGUUAGACUCUCAGAACAAUGUCGUCAAUUAUACUACCCCACUGGAAGGACUCCCCUUGUGUAUCACUACAAAGAUGUCGCUCAACCAUAGCUGUCUUACAACUGAAGCUCAAGCAUGGUUGAGUCACCUUGGAAAAGUUAUGUACUUAAUAGUUCUUGGUUCUAUUUAUGUAACUGGUGUGCUAACCAACCAUGCCCGGCCCAAUUGCCCCAACUGUGCUGACUAUAUGGAAUGGAUUCCCUUCAAUAGUUCUGACCUCUCUCCAUUGACCCAGUGUCUUGGCCCACUGGGUAGAAAAGAAUCUGUGUUAACUGGAGACAUUGUGGAUUGGGGAACUAAAGGUCAACUAGAUGGAAAAGAGGAAAAUCAGAAAUCAUGACACAAACUUCACUGCCAUUGGUGGCAAGCUUUGAAUACUCCUUCUUUAUACCACACCGGGAUCCAAUCCCAGUCUGCCACCUGGAUUGCUUGGCAUGGAGCAGGCUUUAGCACACCUCUUCCUCAGUGGCAUUAUCUAGGGAGGAAAGGUCCAAUUCAAGAAACAAUAUGGAAAGCAGCACUGCUGUUCACAAACGGUAGUAUCCGGGUAGGAACACUCUCUAAUACCAGUACUGCUACUCAACACAGUCUUAAUGUCACAUUUGUAAAGAAUAUCACCACUCAACUUAUGGUUUGUGGUUUUAAUCCUUAUGUCUUUUUGGCAGCUAAGGCGGACCAGCUCCAGGUAAGCAAUACUCAAUUGACCUUAAAUCUUGCUGGUUAUAUCACUGCAUUAAUCAUAGCACAUUGCAAACAUGUAAUAUCUCUACUUUGAUAUUUGGGUCACAUUCCUGGGCUAUGGAUUCUCAUUAAUCUGUCUGAGCCUUGUGAUGCCACCCCUGUUUGGCACUUUGUGAAACUUCUUCUAACUAAACUUACUCAUCAUGCCUGUAGAGCCUCAGGCAUCAUAAUUUUUGCUAUUGUUUCUUUGGUCACACUAAUCACUUCUGCUGUAAUGUCCUCUGUAGCUUUGCAUAGUUCUGUUCAAAUGGCUCAGUAUGUAGAGGACUGGAGGCAUGCAGCCAACUAAGCAUGGCUACUUCAGAGUAAAAUUAACACUGAGUUACAAACUGAAGUGGUAAUAUUAAAAUCCAUGGUUCUGUGGUUAGGGGAACAAGUACAAAGCUUACAGUUGCAACAGAAAUUGCACUGUCAUUCACACUCAUAUUUGUGUAACCAACUUAGAAUAUAACCAAAGAGUAUCCAUGGGACCUUGUAAAAGCCCAUUUGCAGGGAGCUUUCACAUCCAACAUCACCUUUGACAUUGGUGAAUUACAAAAAAAAGUUCUUGAUUUAAAUAAGCAAACUCAAGAGUUUCAGCCUUCUUUAGAAGCCUGGACUGAAUUCCAGCAAGGCCUGGAGAGCCUCAAUCCUUGGAACUAUCUAAAGUACCACAUUAACAUCUCAUAUAUAGUUCUGGGAAUAAUGUUGUUCUGUCUCUGUUUCCUGCUCAUAGCCUGUAAAAUCAGAUGGAUUGCCAAUCAGAAAAUAAAGCUGCCCAACCUGGCCUUACAUUCAUUCAAUUAAUGCAAAAACAGAAAGGGAGAGAUGUUGGGAUCCAGAAGCCUGAGGAUUGUGACCAACACAGCAUUCCACUGGAAGCUAUAUGAUCAAAGAGCAAACUGUUUAUCAUGAAUGCAGAAUGUGGGCAAACUCACAUCUGCACCUGACACUGGAAGGUAUGCUAAGGGGAGCCACUCCCUGGUGCUGUGCUCCUUGAGAUUAUCUACUGGGACAUCUGGAGCCUACUGUUUAAAGAAUGCUGUCAUGCAGGCCUACACUAAGUCAAGCAGCUGACUGACAAUCAGCCCCUUCUCCCUAUCUCCUUUACUCAAUAAAUAUAAAGGGCUCUAGAACUCAGGGCCCUUGUUCACUAGAAGCAAGGAGCCCCCUGACCCCUUCUUCCAAAUAAACUUUUUUGUCUUUGUCUUUAUUCCCA